This 801-nucleotide ribosomal RNA is filed under the name Triticum aestivum (bread wheat). RNAcentral describes it as "partial small subunit ribosomal RNA". Lineage: Eukaryota; Viridiplantae; Streptophyta; Magnoliopsida; Poales; Poaceae. The record is from RNAcentral.
AUGACCCCCUCGCGCCUCCUGGAGGCUGCGUGGAGGACGCGGUGCGAGGAAGGUCCACAGAAGAUCCAGCACCAGGAGCAGCCGCCAGCUCGCUGGGCGAGGUCAUGCAGAUCGGAUCUUCUGUGGCCGGUUCACGUGACGCUGAAGAAGAGGGAGCCGCAGAGGAUCCCGAUCCUGCAUGGGGCUCAUGAUCCGCCAAUGAUUGGAGCAGCGGGCCAGGAGCUGCCGCAGAAUCCACAUGGGAGUCAGCGCCCGAGUCUGGCGGCGAUGAGCGCCGUGCAUAGCAGCGCGUGUCGGGGCCGAACCGACCAGGUGCGGGGCCAGGCGCGGGGCGAGACGCGUGACCAGGCGCUGGGCCAGGCACGGGCGGCUGGAGAAGGGGCCGCGUGGCGCUGGCGGGUUGGCGCGGAGCGGACGCCGAGCCACGGUUGGCGUGUGGCACGACGAGACUCGAGGCGGAUCCGCCUGGCGCUGCUGGCGCGGAUCCCGCUGGAGUCAGGAUGGCAGGCUGGCGCAGCGGGAACCACCCGCGGGGCCAUUCCCGAUGCCCUUGUUGGCGCAGGGGGCGGCAGCGAGGGCGGCGCCGACGAGGUCGUGGUCGUCGGCGGCGGUGGCGGAGGAGGCUGCGACGAGGUGGUAGUCGUCGGGCGCGGAGACGAGGAAGAUAGGGUUGUUGUGGUCGGAGAAGAGCUGGGGCAGGAGAAGCGUUGCGGCAAGGGAACCAGAGAAGGAGAGCGCCGGAAGGAGGAGGAGGAGGAGGAGACGGUGGAGAAGGCCAUCUUGCUGGAAGAUUUCGCGUAG